CUGGUUACUUGAUUUAAGGUUGGUCCCUACUCAAACGCGUCAUAACAAUUUACCGGAUAUGAUUAUCGAUACGAAAUGUUAAAACCAAAUCCGUCUUUACGAGUUCUACCGGGUUAGUACCGUUAUCGGUUUAGGUAUUAUAUCGCGCUGAGCAUUUCCAGUUGGCACUUUUAAGAUUACGCUCGUGUUUACCGAGAUGCCAAGGUUUAAAGGCAGGUUUGUUAAAGACUCUCUUGUUAGAAAAAUUGAAGAUUAGAUAAAGGAAGAAGCAAUCGAAUAAACAAAUCAUAUUUAACAUGUGACGAAACUAGUGGUGUGCCAGUAAGUGACUUAGAUUACAGUUAUCAUUAUCAUAGAGUUAUGGCUGUGAUGGUGAGAAUAUUCAUGUCGUUUGAAAAGAAGAGACAUAUUCGGUUUAGGAAGAUAAGAAAAUGAAUCAGUGGAGAAUGGGCAGACGUGUAGUUGAUCUUGGGGGUUCUUGCGGAUGGUCUAAGCAGUUGUGAGUUAUGCGGACAGCCACUGCAAUUGUCAAACUGUGUGGGGGAACACAAAAUUCGGCCUUGCACAUGUAGCCCUACUACUUGUCAAGUGCAAAUUUACUGACUGUGGGCUAAUACCGAAGUGGCAACAGGAAGCAAACACCAGACUUCAAAUGGCAGAAAUGCAUGGGAUGUAAAUACCAAAAUAGCAGUAGGUAUUAAAUCUGUAUUUUAUUACAUAGUUUAUUCACAUAUUCAAAUUGGAUCAUGAUGUUGGUUAUUUUUAUUUUAAGAACAGUUAUAGUCAGUAUAUAAACAUAAAAAAUGUGACUUGCUUUUUUGUUAAAAGCAUCUUUAUUCUCAAACAUACAUAUGCACACACCUAAUUAUACACACACACAUACAGAAAAUAAACAAGGACAAUCAUGUCAUAUAUUCACUUUCCAUGUUGACUUGUUAAUAAUUUUGAGAACUCAUUUCAGGAAUAAUAAACGGAGGAUUUCCAGAUUUGGUGAAACACAUGUAAAUUCACUCCUGGCUGCUUUAAACAUACCCAGCGUUUCUCGGAUAACUCUGAACAAUAGAGGAAGAGAGGUCAAGCAACAAUUUGGACAAAUGGCAGGGGAAACUUGUAAUAAAAGUCUGCAGGAGGAGAUGAGAUUGAAAUUAUGCCAUUUUCUAGCAAUACAUGACCUAUUUAUAUUUUUAUUUGCAAUCAUUUUUUACAAAAUUAUGUCGUUAAUUAAAAAUAUUAUUGUUUAGGAGUCAAGGGAGUCUGGCGGUUAUAUCUGAUGGUGCUUGGCAGAAGCGGGGUACCGGGAGAGCUUAAAAUAGUCUUACAGGACUUGCCUCUCUGUUGGAGAAAAAUCGAAGAAAAUAGUCAUUUUUUCAGUGUAGGGAAAAAAGUAGGGUAUGUGCAGCUGCCAAAUUAAAGAGUAAUUCUCCCAGGCAACACAAGUGCUGUAAGAACUCAACUGGAUCAGCAAAGGUUAUGGUUUUCAGCCUGCCAUGGCCUGUGAGAUGUUGGAGAUCGAGAAUGUAGGGGGAAAGUAGAUACUGUGAUUAUGGACAAUGACUCAACUACCAUGGCAAGAGUGAAAGAUAAUGUUGAUCCCAAUAUGAGCAAAAGAUCCGACAGUAAUCACACAAAGAAGGGAUUUAGUGGUGUAUUAGUAGAACUGAGCAGCAAGCUUAAAGUUUUCAGUUGUAACAUAACUUUAUCUAUGUCCUAUGCUGGUGUUACUGAAGUAGAAACAGUAUUUAAUUGUUUGUAUUUGAGUGCAUGCCUGAAAAGAAGAAUGUUGCAUUGGUAUAGCCGUUUUUGUAUUUGUGCGGACAUAUUUCAAUUAUUGAUGAGUUGUAAAAAAUGCAUUUAAAUGAUUUUUUAAAGACAGAUUUACUUGUUAUGUUUUAUAAUGCAUGAAAAUGGUAUAAGAGUGUGAUUUUUCUUUUAAAUAUGUUUGUUACUGAUAUUUUAGAGUUGAAUUUGUUUGAUCGGCAAGGGGGUAUACAUGAUCUAGAAGGUGUAGAUAAUUAAAAAGCCUGAAAAGUACUAAUUUUUUGGGGCUUUUUAGUUGCAACAGAUAUAAAUCUAAUAUUUUAAAUGAAAAAAGAACGUGUUUAUCCAUUACUUUAUGAAAAAAUGUGUAAAAAUGACGAUAUUGUAAAAAAAUUUAAAGCACCAAAUUGAUAUCAUAUUGGAAAAAAACGUUAUAUUAUAAAAUAAAUAUUCAUAUAUGAGACUGGUUAUGCCUUUCCUACAUAUUAAUGAAUAAAUAAAUACAUUUGAAAGUAA
This is a long non-coding RNA of Saccostrea cuccullata (small rock oyster), 2274 nucleotides long. RefSeq lists it as uncharacterized. Lineage: Eukaryota; Metazoa; Mollusca; Bivalvia; Ostreida; Ostreidae. The record is from RefSeq and is a predicted model, not a curated record. The transcript has 3 exons.